AUCCUAUCAAAUCUUACUUUAUAUAAUAGUAAGAUUCUUUUACAAAUUUUUUAAUAGUAAAAAGUCUUCAAUAAUCUUGACGUCUGGACAAAAUUCUUCAAUUAAUUGUUUCUUUUUCUAGAAACUUCUUGUCUUUUCUCCAGCUGUCUGAUUGAUUUUUUACACCUGUCUGAAAAAUUUCUUAUCUUGUUGCAUAAUUAUGUCUGCCAAUACUGUCUAAAGAAUCUCCUCCGUCAGUGAAAUCUUCAAAAUUAUCUUCUGAAUUAUUGUCUUUGGAGUCAUCUCUGUCUUGUUCAAUCUUCUUUUUUCCUUUAUUUUUCUUUUUAAUUUGUAAUUUCUUUUUCUUCGUAGUACUUUGUUUAACUUGUUGCUGAAUUUCUUCAAUCUUUUCAAACAUCUCUUUAAUCUUUCUAAUAUCUGAUUGAGAAAUUUGGUCUGGAUCUUGAGCUGAUUGAAAUGAUCCUGGAAAAUUAAUUGGGCUUUUCUGUUUAAGAUCUAUUGGGCUAAUAAGUCUAGUAGCAGAAUUAUCAGUCUGCUGUGUCUGAUCUUCUUUAUUAUAUGUAACAGGAUUUUCAGCCUGUUGUGUCUGAGAAGUAGAGGAAUCAACAGUCCUCUGAGUCUGUUGAGCUUUUGGUAAGCCCAGAACCAUAAACGGAUUUGAUAAGUCUUUACCAGCUUCCGUUUGAGCUGGACUAGCUAUAGAUUUAUUG
Molecule: long non-coding RNA, 710 nt
Filed under: Olea europaea subsp. europaea
Lineage: Eukaryota; Viridiplantae; Streptophyta; Magnoliopsida; Lamiales; Oleaceae
Source: RNAcentral